This 469-nucleotide long non-coding RNA is filed under the name Sus scrofa (pig). RNAcentral describes it as "lncRNA (ENSSSCG00050010905.1)". Lineage: Eukaryota; Metazoa; Chordata; Mammalia; Artiodactyla; Suidae. The record is from RNAcentral.
AUGGGAGCAAGUGCCCAUGGCACACCUCACAGCAAGCAGAUUCACAAAUUCCCAUUAGAUACCGAUGGUCUCCCUAAAAUCCCUCUUAGUGUUGCCAACAACAGAAUGACCGAUUCUCUUUUUAUCCAUUCCUGUCUAGAUCUGUUCCUAUCCUCUGAGAACCAGGAAUCUAAACCAUCAAUGAGUUUCAUCUCAGCAGCUGCAAACUUGCACACCUGCCAACUAAAACCAAACCAAACCAAAGCAACCGAAAAUCUUCAGGUUACUGAGAUUCACGCAAUGUAUUACGUAUUCCGUGUGCUGUGUCCUCACCUAGAAGACCUUGCUCAAAGCCAAGGUCUUUGUGAACUAGCAAUUCAACAAGGAAUUUUAGAAGGGGGCCUGUAGUUACGCUGCCUGCAUUCCAGCUCUGAAUCUUUCUAUGUGUAUGUGUUUAGGGCCCUAAAUAAAAGAAUGGUGCCACCAUCCA